Equus caballus (horse) is the source of this 670-nucleotide long non-coding RNA. The record is from Ensembl. NCBI's taxonomy places the organism in Eukaryota, Metazoa, Chordata, Mammalia, Perissodactyla, Equidae.
UGAGAGGACGUGACCCCUGUGGCCAACAGUUGUCCAGCUGGACCAGGCAAUGGGAGACUCCUUACCUCCUCGCACGUCUGCCCCCAGGAGCCACUUCAAGGAGGCAGCCCGUCUGGACAGUGCACAAGACUGAACCUGCACCCGAGUAACUUCUUACUCAAGAAGGCCCUGUGUCUCUGAAGGUGGCAUGUACGAGCGGGCAGAGAACACCAGGGAGCUUGCUGGAAAUGCGGAAUCUCAAGACUCACUUUAGGAAAGAUCCCCAGUCUGCUCAAUUUUGAAAACGUCUCCUUACAAGUACUGACCAAGAACAGUUGGUUCAAGGCCAUGAUGGAACUCAAAGGCAAAAGGAAAAGGAGAUGGCUAAAUGCAGGAAAGCUGCUUUCUCAAGAAUAUCAUGGAGCGGAGGCUUCCCAGCCCUCAACUUCUCGACUCCCGGCGCUGGAACCCGCCUCGAACAAGAAGACGAGACAACAGCUCUCAAGGCCAAAUGCAGGCUAGUGGGAAAAUGCCAAACUGCACAAGCUACAUGCGCCCCCCUUCCCAACCCAAAACCCCAAAUAAAAAUCCCUACCCGUUCCUCAUCGGGGAGCUAGCAAUUUUUGAGGCAUGAGCCCUUGCUUUGCUCCCUGUGCCUGGCAUAGUAAAAACCUUUCCUCUCCACUCAAAA